This 599-nucleotide ribosomal RNA is filed under the name uncultured bacterium. RNAcentral describes it as "bacterial SSU rRNA". It matches the Rfam family "Bacterial small subunit ribosomal RNA", at positions 173 to 755 of the family's 1533-position model. The record is from RNAcentral.
AUGCAGCGGCACCUAAUGGUGACAGUUGUUAAAGCGGGGGAUCGCAAGACCUCGCGUCUGAAGAGGAGCCUGCGGCAGAUUAGCUAGUUGGUAAGGUAAUGGCUUACCAAGGCGAUGAUCUGUAGCCGGCCUGAGAGGGCGGUCGGCCACACUGACACUGACAUACGGGUCAGACUCCUACGGGAGGCAGCAGUCGGGAAUUUUGGGCAAUGGGCGAAAGCCUGACCCAGCAACGCCGCGUGAAGGAUGAAAUCCCUCGGGAUGUAAACUUCGCAAGAACGGGAAGAAUAAGUAAGAGUUAAUAUCUCUUACGAUGACGGUACUGUUUGUAAGCUCCGGCUAACUCCGUGCCAGCAGCCGCGGUAAUACGGGGGGAGCAAGCGUUGUUCGGAUUUACUGGGCGUAAAGGGCGCGUAGGCGGCCUCUGCAAGUCGACUGUGAAAUCUCCGGGCUUAACCCGGAAAGGUCAGCCGAUACUGCAGGGCUAGAGUGCAGAAGGGGCAACUGGAAUUCUCGGUGUAGCGGUGAAAUGCGUAGAUAUCGAGAGGAACACCUGCGGCGAAGGCGGGUUGCUGGGCUGACACUGACGCUGAGGCGCG